Molecule: ribosomal RNA, 330 nt
Filed under: Alexandrium tamarense
Lineage: Eukaryota; Dinophyceae; Gonyaulacales; Pyrocystaceae
Description: partial Bacterial small subunit ribosomal RNA
Rfam family: Bacterial small subunit ribosomal RNA
Source: RNAcentral
ACGGAGAGUUUGAUCCUGGCUCAGGAUGAACGCUGGCGGCGUGCUUAACACAUGCAAGUCGAACGAACCUUCGGGUUAGUGGCGGACGGGGGAGUAACGCGUGAGAAUCUGCCCUCAGGAGGGGGAUAACGGCUGGAAACGGCCGCUAAUACCCCAUAUGCCGCGAGGUGAAAUGAAUUUCGCCUGAGGAUGAGCUCGCGUCUGAUUAGCUAGUUGGUGGGGUAAGAGCCUACCAAGGCAUCGAUCAGUAGCUGGUCUGAGAGGAUGAUCAGCCACACUGGAACUGAGACACGGUCCAGACUCCUACGGGAGGCAGCAGUGGGGAAUAUU